RNAcentral lists this ribosomal RNA (2923 nucleotides) under Klebsiella pneumoniae. RNAcentral's name for it is "23S ribosomal RNA". It matches the Rfam family "Bacterial large subunit ribosomal RNA". Lineage: Bacteria; Pseudomonadati; Pseudomonadota; Gammaproteobacteria; Enterobacterales; Enterobacteriaceae. The record is from RNAcentral.
GGGUUGUGAGGUUAAGCGACUAAGCGUACACGGUGGAUGCCCUGGCAGUCAGAGGCGAUGAAGGACGUGCUAAUCUGCGAAAAGCGUCGGUAAGGUGAUAUGAACCGUUAUAACCGGCGAUGUCCGAAUGGGGAAACCCAGUGUGAUUCGUCACACUAUCGUUAACUGAAUACAUAGGUUAACGAGGCGAACCGGGGGAACUGAAACAUCUAAGUACCCCGAGGAAAAGAAAUCAACCGAGAUUCCCCCAGUAGCGGCGAGCGAACGGGGAGCAGCCCAGAGUCUGAAUCAGCUUGUGUGUUAGUGGAACGGUCUGGAAAGUCCGACGGUACAGGGUGAUAGUCCCGUACACCAAAAUGCACAGGUUGUGAACUCGAAGAGUAGGGCGGGACACGUGGUAUCCUGUCUGAAUAUGGGGGGACCAUCCUCCAAGGCUAAAUACUCCUGACUGACCGAUAGUGAACCAGUACCGUGAGGGAAAGGCGAAAAGAACCCCGGCGAGGGGAGUGAAAAAGAACCUGAAACCGUGUACGUACAAGCAGUGGGAGCACCUUCGGGUGUGACUGCGUACCUUUUGUAUAAUGGGUCAGCGACUUAUAUUCUGUAGCAAGGUUAACCGUAUAGGGGAGCCGCAGGGAAACCGAGUCUUAACUGGGCGUUAAGUUGCAGGGUAUAGACCCGAAACCCGGUGAUCUAGCCAUGGGCAGGUUGAAGGUUGGGUAACACUAACUGGAGGACCGAACCGACUAAUGUUGAAAAAUUAGCGGAUGACUUGUGGCUGGGGGUGAAAGGCCAAUCAAACCGGGAGAUAGCUGGUUCUCCCCGAAAGCUAUUUAGGUAGCGCCUCGUGAACUCAUCUUCGGGGGUAGAGCACUGUUUCGGCUAGGGGGUCAUCCCGACUUACCAACCCGAUGCAAACUACGAAUACCGAAGAAUGUUAUCACGGGAGACACACGGCGGGUGCUAACGUCCGUCGUGAAGAGGGAAACAACCCAGACCGCCAGCUAAGGUCCCAAAGUCAUGGUUAAGUGGGAAACGAUGUGGGAAGGCACAGACAGCCAGGAUGUUGGCUUAGAAGCAGCCAUCAUUUAAAGAAAGCGUAAUAGCUCACUGGUCGAGUCGGCCUGCGCGGAAGAUGUAACGGGGCUAAACCAUGCACCGAAGCUGCGGCAGCGACACUAUGUGUUGUUGGGUAGGGGAGCGUUCUGUAAGCCUGCGAAGGUGACCUGUGAGGGUUGCUGGAGGUAUCAGAAGUGCGAAUGCUGACAUAAGUAACGAUAAAGCGGGUGAAAAGCCCGCUCGCCGGAAGACCAAGGGUUCCUGUCCAACGUUAAUCGGGGCAGGGUGAGUCGACCCCUAAGGCGAGGCCGAAAGGCGUAGUCGAUGGGAAACAGGUUAAUAUUCCUGUACUUGGUGUUACUGCGAAGGGGGGACGGAGAAGGCUAUGUUAGCCGGGCGACGGUUGUCCCGGUUUAAGCAUGUAGGCUGGUUAUCCAGGCAAAUCCGGAUAAUCAAGGCUGAGGUGUGAUGACGAGGCACUACGGUGCUGAAGUAACAAAUGCCCUGCUUCCAGGAAAAGCCUCUAAGCAUCAGGUAACAUCAAAUCGUACCCCAAACCGACACAGGUGGUCAGGUAGAGAAUACCAAGGCGCUUGAGAGAACUCGGGUGAAGGAACUAGGCAAAAUGGUGCCGUAACUUCGGGAGAAGGCACGCUGGUGUGUAGGUGAAGUCCCUGCGGAUGGAGCUGAGACCAGUCGAAGAUACCAGCUGGCUGCAACUGUUUAUUAAAAACACAGCACUGUGCAAACACGAAAGUGGACGUAUACGGUGUGACGCCUGCCCGGUGCCGGAAGGUUAAUUGAUGGGGUUAUCCGUAAGGAGAAGCUCUUGAUCGAAGCCCCGGUAAACGGCGGCCGUAACUAUAACGGUCCUAAGGUAGCGAAAUUCCUUGUCGGGUAAGUUCCGACCUGCACGAAUGGCGUAAUGAUGGCCAGGCUGUCUCCACCCGAGACUCAGUGAAAUUGAACUCGCUGUGAAGAUGCAGUGUACCCGCGGCAAGACGGAAAGACCCCGUGAACCUUUACUAUAGCUUGACACUGAACAUUGAGCCUUGAUGUGUAGGAUAGGUGGGAGGCUUUGAAGCGUGGACGCCAGUCUGCGUGGAGCCAACCUUGAAAUACCACCCUUUAAUGUUUGAUGUUCUAACGUUGGCCCCUUAUCGGGGUUGCGGACAGUGUCUGGUGGGUAGUUUGACUGGGGCGGUCUCCUCCCAAAGCGUAACGGAGGAGCACGAAGGUUAGCUAAUCCUGGUCGGACAUCAGGAGGUUAGUGCAAUGGCAUAAGCUAGCUUGACUGCGAGCGUGACGGCGCGAGCAGGUGCGAAAGCAGGUCAUAGUGAUCCGGUGGUUCUGAAUGGAAGGGCCAUCGCUCAACGGAUAAAAGGUACUCCGGGGAUAACAGGCUGAUACCGCCCAAGAGUUCAUAUCGACGGCGGUGUUUGGCACCUCGAUGUCGGCUCAUCACAUCCUGGGGCUGAAGUAGGUCCCAAGGGUAUGGCUGUUCGCCAUUUAAAGUGGUACGCGAGCUGGGUUUAGAACGUCGUGAGACAGUUCGGUCCCUAUCUGCCGUGGGCGCUGGAGAAUUGAGGGGGGCUGCUCCUAGUACGAGAGGACCGGAGUGGACGCAUCACUGGUGUUCGGGUUGUCAUGCCAAUGGCACUGCCCGGUAGCUAAAUGCGGAAGAGAUAAGUGCUGAAAGCAUCUAAGCACGAAACUUGCCCCGAGAUGAGUUCUCCCUGAGACUUUAAGUCUCCUGAAGGAACGUUGAAGACGACGACGUUGAUAGGCCGGGUGUGUAAGCGCAGCGAUGCGUUGAGCUAACCGGUACUAAUGAACCGUGAGGCUUAACCUUACAACGCCGAAG